GAUGAACGCUGGCGGCGUGCCUAAUACAUGCAAGUCGAGCGAACAGACGAGGAGCUUGCUCCUCUGACGUUAGCGGCGGACGGGUGAGUAACACGUGGAUAACCUACCUAUAAGACUGGGAUAACUUCGGGAAACCGGAGCUAAUACCGGAUAAUAUAUUGAACCGCAUGGUUCAAUAGUGAAAGACGGUUUUGCUGUCACUUAUAGAUGGAUCCGCGCCGCAUUAGCUAGUUGGUAAGGUAACGGCUUACCAAGGCAACGAUGCGUAGCCGACCUGAGAGGGUGAUCGGCCACACUGGAACUGAGGCACGGUCCAGACUCCUACGGGAGGCAGCAGUAGGGAAUCUUCCGCAAUGGGCGAAAGCCUGACGGAGCAACGCCGCGUGAGUGAUGAAGGUCUUCGGAUCGUAAAACUCUGUUAUUAGGGAAGAACAAAUGUGUAAGUAACUAUGCACGUCUUGACGGUACCUAAUCAGAAAGCCACGGCUAACUACGUG
RNAcentral lists this ribosomal RNA (497 nucleotides) under uncultured bacterium. RNAcentral's name for it is "partial 16S ribosomal RNA". It matches the Rfam family "Bacterial small subunit ribosomal RNA", at positions 28 to 507 of the family's 1533-position model. The record is from RNAcentral.